UUCUUCGGUGCGCUCGCCCGCACUGGGCUGCACAACAGCGACCCCAACCUCCUCUCAUGCGUCUCCAGUGCGGUGGAGCAUCAUAUGGCAACCUCCUCCACUGCAUUUGGACCAGUGGAGGCCCUCCCUUGCUCAGGGGAACACCUCAAAACCCUUUUCCUCUCCUCCAGCCCUUCUUUUCUUCGUAGGAUGUGCUUUGACUGACUGAGCGUGUUCAUCCCUAUAUAUUUGAACAAGUUCUUGUUCUUGCAAGCAUUGAACAUAUAUGUUUACCUUGUGCAGUAAUAGUUUUGGUGUCAAGCUAAAUAAAGAGGCAGUCCAAAUGGCUUGAAAUGAGAAGUUUUGUGGGGGCUAAUUGAGGCUUUAUAGAUUCUUUAUAGUUAAGCACUUGUACCUCUGCCUAUCUCCUCUAUUGUGAGCCCGUGGCUGAACCAUACAUUGUUUCAUGUAGACUACUAGCUUGCAUGGGCCUGAAGAAUGGAGUAAUUUAGCAAGUAGGAAUUCUGUUUUUUCUUGCAUUAGCUAUUGCACCUCUAGUUUGUUCUAUUGUGUCCUGGACAGUGAGGGAAAUUGAAGGAAGUAUUUUGUAUUUCAUAAUUUUCUGGGUUAAUAUGCCUAAUUUUCUGGGUUCAUAUAUUUCACUUGUUCAGCUGUGGUAAUUAUCUUGGUUAAUAUGCACAGCGUAGCCUGUUUCACUCACUAUUUUUUUAGUGUUUGAUUUGAUAGGUAUAGCAGAGAAGUGAAUGUAUGACGGUGAUGUCGAUUGUUGGCUGCUGGUGUGAACCAACAAAUAUGCCGCAGUUGAUGGAAGCGUCCAAGUUGAGCCAGGUCAGCAAGUCGUGAAUCUGAACAACCCUGUUUCAUAAGUGCACUCUGAAUGAUGUUGUUGGCCUGAAACUAAAGGCCAAUUAAGCAAAUGCCUUAAAUAAUGCGUGUUCACUAGCAAGGUAAUAAUGGUAUGCUCCGACCACUUGAUACUUCAUUCCAAUAUUUUUGAAUGAUACAUACAUCUGUUGAUCAAGAUAUCUUAUAGCCACGAUUACUCCUAUUAUCGCUGUAGUACAUGGGUCAGCAUAGUUAAUUUAAGUAACAAGAAUCUAGUUGAUGUCAUUAAGCAUAACUAGGAUGUAUUGAACCGGAAUUCUAAUUAUCUCUGGGGUCAAGUAGAACAUGUUUGUUUCAUGUUCUGUAUGAGGUUUGGCCACAAUUCAGAAAAUCAUUGAUCCCACUAACUCUCUCUUUUACGUGUUAAGAGCUAACAUGUAUUUUCGUAGUCGUACUUCUGCCUUCAGAGGAUUUUGGACAGCCAGAUCAAUAUCAACUAGAUAUUCUGGGCAAUGGAGUUGGAACUUGCCUCUCACAGUUAUUCUAUUCGGUAUACCAUGUGUAGUGUGUUCUCUCUAAUAUGUUUUAGUUUUGCAGCAUUGCUUUGCAAUCAGCUAGGACUUUGUUUUGUGAUAUUUAAAUAUACAAUAUAUCAAAGGUUUAUUGGUGAACUGUUUGCAUCUUGCAUAAAUUUGGAAAUUAAUAGCUUAAGGAUAUUCUAGUUAUGGGAAAAUAUGGACCAUGCUUGAAAAGGCAAUUAUAAAAAUCACUACAUUUUGAAAAAUAACUUAGGUUUGUUAUUGGCUAAAGAGAUUUGUUUUUAUAGACGCACAAAAAACUAGGAUCCAAGCAAGUAAUGGAAAUAGAGAUUAUUAAGAAAAAAUUGAUACUACUAUUAUUUGUCUCAGUUUUGGUAAAUGAUAGUGUGAAUCUAACAUCGAACAGACUUCUCAAAAAAUUUAGCAUAUAUGUUUGAAUACGGUUUAUGGUAGCUCAUAGUCUGAAUUUUGUGCUUGCAGGUGCAUUCACAUCACCUUAUCUUGUGCAGGAUAUGGAAAAAUACUUGAUUGUUCUUGCUGCUUUGAAUCUAAUAUAUAACAGUCUUAAGAAGGUAUAUCAACUUUUUAAUCUGUAUACCAUGUGCUUCCUGGCAUCCUUGCUGCUAGGAAACUAAAUAUGUAUAGCACUAGGUGGCUGCACUAUAAUAUUGUUUAUUAUGCAUGCAGUAUGACAUUAAAAACAAUACACUUCUUGGCAUAUGUUGUUUUGCUGCUGAUGCAUAUACAUGCUUGCACUAUUAAUAUACAUGCAGUGAUGAUGAAUCAUCUCUCACACAUGCGCAAGCCUUGUUCCUACCGUUGUCACCCUGUAUACAUAUAUAAUGAUUCAUUUAAUUUCAUUUUUGUUUCCUGUUAUAAUAAUAGUACUAUGUCUGUCAAGUGGGCAGCAAGUAUUGUUUAUUAUUUGUCAGCCCUUUGAGAUGUACUUGCAGCAUAAAUAACAUUGAGUUUUAUGCCGCUGCUCGUUGACCUGGUUGGCGUAAAAUUCAAAUGUUCACGUGUUGACAAGUUUACACAUCACGGCGAGGAUAUUAUUUGUUAGUGAUGCCAUUUUGUUGGCAUGUUUAUAUGGCCUCAACUACUACUACUAUAGUACUUGAGUUUUGUGAUGUAUGUUUUGUUUCUUUGUCAUUUGACUUCCAUUUGACAGGCUUUUCUUUGGAUUAAUUUUAAGCAACUUCAUGUUGACUCUCAUUUUAUAGUAGAUGCAAUGUUAUUCUCGUUUGUAGGCACUAUAAGAUUUAAGAAUUUUGGACAACAUUUAGUUCAUUUUUAUGUUUGUUGUAAUUCUCUUAUUUCUAUGAUCUAUUGAUAUCUACAAAUAUCUAAUAAGGUUCUUGUAAAUAUGACAGGGAAGAUUAGGUAGCGAGCUACUUAGUGCCGCCAUCACAAUCAGCCAUGACAUGAUAGUUGCCACAGGAGGACUGACAGGAAAACAUGAAUAACAGCCUUAAUAGCUUAUAUGUUAUGUUGAUGUAAAAUGGGUUGUACCGGUUCCUAACCUUGUUGUCUGAUAUAUUGUCCAUCUAUGUUGUAAGUUAUCACUUCAUAGAAGGAUUUUGUAAACUGCUAUGUUGUAUUUACAUACGGAUGGCUGCAAACUGAAUCAACUGUGUAAUGUUCUGACACAUUGCAAAUACUACCUCUUGGGUAGAAAUUGGCAUUUGGAUUAGUGAGACGCAUUAUGCCAAAAACAUUCGUGGUCAAAAUUAGGCAGAAAUAUAUGGGUUAAA
This 3118-nucleotide long non-coding RNA is filed under the name Triticum aestivum (bread wheat). Its description in RNAcentral is "long non-coding RNA (TAES_LNC008426)". The record is from RNAcentral. Lineage: Eukaryota; Viridiplantae; Streptophyta; Magnoliopsida; Poales; Poaceae.